CUAAGGAAUAUUUCCGGCAAUGGAGGAAACUCUGACGGAGCAACGCCGCGUGGACGAUGAAGGCCGGAAGGUUGUAAAGUCCUUUUAUAAUUGAGGAAUAAGCGGGACAGGGAAUGGUUCCGCGGUGACCGUAAAUUAUGAAUAAGCACCGGCUAAAUACGUGCCAGCAGCCGCGGUAAUACGUAUGGUGCAAGCGUUAUCCGGAUUUACUGGGUGUAAGGGGAGCGCAGGCGGUGCGGCAAGUCUGAUGUGAAAGCCCGGGGCUCAACCCCGGUACUGCAUUGGAAACUGUCGUACUAGAGUGUCGGAGGGGUAAGUGGAAUUCCUAGUGUAGCGGUGAAAUGCGUAGAUAUUAGGAGGAACACCAGUGGCGAAGGCGGCUUACUGGACGAUAACUGACGCUGAGGCUCGAAAGCGUGGGGAGCAAACAGGGAUUAGAUACCC
Molecule: ribosomal RNA, 444 nt
Filed under: uncultured Roseburia sp.
Lineage: Bacteria; Bacillati; Bacillota; Clostridia; Lachnospirales; Lachnospiraceae
Description: bacterial SSU rRNA
Rfam family: Bacterial small subunit ribosomal RNA
Source: RNAcentral